UAGUCCACGCCGUAAACGAUGUCAACUAGUUGUCGGAAGGAAUUGACCUUUCGGUGACGCAGCUAACGCAUUAAGUUGACCGCCUGGGGAGUACGCCGGCAACGGUAAAACUCAAAGGAAUUGACGGGGACCCGCACAAGCGGUGGAGCAUGUUGUUUAAUUCGACGCAACGCGAAGAACCUUACCUACACUUGACAUACUCGUCGGGACUUUCAGAGAUGAUUGUCUUCGGUUCGGCCGGACGAUGUACAGGUGCUGCACGGCUGUCGUCAGCUCGUGUCGUGAGAUGUUUGGUUAAGUCCAGCAACGAGCGCAACCCCUAUCGUAUGUUGCCAGCAUUCAGUUGGGCACUCAUGCGAGACUGCCGGUGUUAAGCCGGAGGAAGGUGGGGACGGACGUCAAGUCAUCAUGGCCCUUACGUGUAGGGCUACAAACGUGCUACAAUGGGAGUUACAGUGGGCAGCGACGUCGCGAGGCGAAGCUAAUCCCUAAAAGCUCUCUCAGUUCGG
This 509-nucleotide ribosomal RNA is filed under the name uncultured bacterium. RNAcentral's name for it is "bacterial SSU rRNA". It matches the Rfam family "Bacterial small subunit ribosomal RNA", at positions 791 to 1296 of the family's 1533-position model. The record is from RNAcentral.